Molecule: unclassified non-coding RNA, 351 nt
Filed under: soil metagenome
Description: partial contains 5.8S ribosomal RNA, internal transcribed spacer 2, and large subunit ribosomal RNA
Rfam family: 5.8S ribosomal RNA (bases 1-120)
Source: RNAcentral
GAUGAAGAACGCAGCGAAAUGCGAUACGUAAUGUGAAUUGCAGAAUUCAGUGAAUCAUCGAAUCUUUGAACGCACAUUGCGCCCGCGAGUAUUCUCGCGGGCAUGCCUGUCCGAGCGUCAUUUCAACCCUCAGGGCCCGCCUGCUUGCAGGCGCGGCGCUGGUGUUGGGGAUCGGCUACCCUGCCGUCCCCCAAAUACAGUGGCGGUCUCGCUGCAGCCUCCCCUGCGUAGUAGCAACACUCGCAUGCGGAGCGCGGCGCGGCCACGCCGUAAAACCCCCGACUUUCUGAACGUUGACCUCGGAUCAGGUAGGAAUACCCGCUGAACUUAAGCAUAUCAAUAAGCGGAGGA